Molecule: ribosomal RNA, 506 nt
Filed under: uncultured Glomus
Lineage: Eukaryota; Fungi; Glomeromycota; Glomeromycetes; Glomerales; Glomeraceae
Description: SSU rRNA
Rfam family: Eukaryotic small subunit ribosomal RNA
Source: RNAcentral
AGCAGCCGCGGUAAUUCCAGCUCCAAUAGCGUAUAUUAAAGUUGCUGCAGUUAAAAAGCUCGUAGUUGAAUUUCGGGAUCAAUAUGUUGGUCGUGCCUUGGUACGUACUAGCUUAUUGAUUUCUCCUUUCUGACGAACCAUGAUGUCAUUAAUUUGGUGUCAUGGGGAAUCAGGACUGUUACUUUGAAAAAAUUAGAGUGUUUAAAGCAGGCUCGCGCUUGAAUACAUUAGCGUGGAAUAAUGAAAUAGGACAUUUGAUUCUAUUUUGUUGGUUUCUAGGAUCGAUGUAAUGAUUAAUAGGGAUAGUUGGGGGCAUUAGUAUUCAAUUGUCAGAGGUGAAAUUCUUGGAUUUAUUGAAGACUAACUACUGCGAAAGCAUUUGCCAAGGAUGUUUUCAUUAAUCAAGAACGAAAGUUAGGGGAUCGAAGACGAUCAGAUACCGUCGUAGUCUUAACCAUAAACUAUGCCGACUAGGGAUCGGAUGAUGUUAAUUUUUUAAUGACUCA